CGGAAAUGAUCUUAGCAGCAACAUUUCGAAGGGACUUGAAAAGGGCAAGUUUGCAAGCAUUAAGGCCAUGGAGGUGCUUACCCUAGUCAAGGCAUGAGAUGCUCAGGACUUAGCUGGCUACCAAAUACUGCAAAAGUCCCAUUGACUUCAGUUGGAGUUAGAGAUCAGGAUCAGUGGAGGUAUAAAAAAAUAGGUAGAAGGGAACACCGUAAGUAAAAUGAGUGUGUGAUGUUCGGCUGGUGGAAAGGAUCUAGUGAAAAUAUUGAGAGCGGUGACUCUUCUUGCCCGAUUUUUGAAAACCUGCUUGCAGAGAAAGAUCGUUCCCCAUCAGAAGUGGACUAGGUGCGCUCAGUAAGC
Mauremys reevesii (Reeves's turtle) is the source of this 357-nucleotide long non-coding RNA. RefSeq lists it as uncharacterized. Lineage: Eukaryota; Metazoa; Chordata; Testudines; Geoemydidae. The transcript has 3 exons. The record is from RefSeq and is a predicted model, not a curated record.